GAUGAAGAACGUAGCGAAAUGGGAUAAGUAAUGUGAAUUGCAGAAUUCAGUGAAUCAUCGAAUCUUUGAACGCACAUUGCGCCCCCUGGUAUUCCGGGGGGCAUGCCUGUCCGAGCGUCAUUACAACCCUCAAGCUCAGCUUGGUAUUGGGCCCCGCCGACCCGGCGGGCCCUAAAGUCAGUGGCGGUGCCGUCCGGCUCCGAGCGUAGUAAUUCUUCUCGCUCUGGAGGUCCGGUCGUGUGCUCGCCAGCAACCCCCAAUUUUUUUCAGGUUGACCUCGGAUCAGGAAGGGAUACCCGCUGAACUUAAGCAUAUCAAUAAGCGGAGGA
This 329-nucleotide unclassified non-coding RNA is filed under the name soil metagenome. RNAcentral describes it as "partial contains 5.8S ribosomal RNA, internal transcribed spacer 2, and large subunit ribosomal RNA". The stretch from base 1 to 120 matches the Rfam family "5.8S ribosomal RNA", at positions 35 to 154 of the family's 154-position model. The record is from RNAcentral.